RNAcentral lists this ribosomal RNA (460 nucleotides) under uncultured bacterium. RNAcentral's name for it is "partial 16S ribosomal RNA". It matches the Rfam family "Bacterial small subunit ribosomal RNA", at positions 338 to 795 of the family's 1533-position model. The record is from RNAcentral.
CCUACGGGAGGCAGCAGUGAGGAAUAUUGGUCAAUGGGCGAGAGCCUGAACCAGCCAAGUCGCGUGAGGGAGUACUGCCCUAUGGGUUGUAAACCUCUUUUGUCGGGGAGCAAAAGCCGGACGUGUCCGGCUGUGAGAGUACCCGAAGAAAAAGAAUCGGUUAACUCCGUGCCAGCAGCCGCGGUAAGACGGAGGAUGCGAGCGUUAGCCGGAUUUAGUGGGUUUAAAGGGGGGGUAGGCUGUGAGGUAAGUCAGCGGAGAAAUGCCCCCGCUCAACGGGGUGAAGUGCCAUUGAUACUGGCGUGCUGGAAUGCUGAUGCCGUGGGAGGAAUGUGAGGUGUAGCGGUGAAAUGCAUAGAUAUCACACAGAACACAGGUUGCGAAGGCAUCUCACGAAUCCGCGAUUGACGCUGAUGCACGAAAGCGUGGGUAUCAAACAGGAUUAGAUACCCGUGUAGUC